UACGGGGGGGGCAAGCGUUGUUCGGAAUUACUGGGCGUAAAGGGCUCGUAGGCGGCCAACUAAGUCGGACGUGAAAUCCCCAGGCUCAACCUGGGAACUGCGUCCGAUACUGGAUGGCUUGAAUCCGGGAGAGGGAUGCAGAAUUCCAGGUGUAGCGGUGAAAUGCGCAGAUAUCAGGAGGAACACCGGUGGCGAAGGCGGGUCUCUGGGCAACUACUGACGCUGAGGAGCGAAAGCGUGGGGAGCGAACAGG
Molecule: ribosomal RNA, 253 nt
Filed under: uncultured bacterium
Lineage: Bacteria
Description: partial 16S ribosomal RNA
Rfam family: Bacterial small subunit ribosomal RNA
Source: RNAcentral